RNAcentral lists this ribosomal RNA (484 nucleotides) under uncultured bacterium. RNAcentral describes it as "partial 16S ribosomal RNA". It matches the Rfam family "Bacterial small subunit ribosomal RNA", at positions 30 to 507 of the family's 1533-position model. The record is from RNAcentral.
AUUGAACGCUGGCGGCAGGCCUAACACAUGUAAGUCGAGCGGAUGAAGGGAGCUUGCUCCUGGAUUCAGCGGCGGACGGGUGAGUAAUGCCUAGGAAUCUGCUUGGUAGUGGGGGAUAACGUCCGGAAACGGGCGCUAAUACCGCAUACGUCCUGCGGGAGAAAGUGGGGGAUCUUCGGACCUCACGCUAUCAGAUGAGCCUAGGUCGGAUUAGCUAGUUGGUGGGGUAAAGGCCUACCAAGGCGACGAUCCGUAACUGGUCUGAGAGGAUGAUCAGUCACAUGGGAACUGAGACACGGUCCAGACUCCUGCGGGAGGCAGCAGUGGGGAAUGUUGGACAGUGGGCGAAAGCCUGGUCCAGCCGUGCCGCGUGUGUGAAGAAGGUCUUCGGAUUGUAAAGCACUUUAUGUUGGGAGGAAGGGCAGUAAGUUAAUACCUUGCUGUUUUGACGUUACCAACAGAAUAAGCACCGGCUAACUUCGUG